GCGGGCGUGGUGGAAUGGUAGACACACCGGACUUAAAAUCCGGAGGGGGUAUCCCCGUGCGGGUUCAAGUCCCGCCGCCCGCACCA
Molecule: transfer RNA, 86 nt
Filed under: Devosia neptuniae
Lineage: Bacteria; Pseudomonadati; Pseudomonadota; Alphaproteobacteria; Hyphomicrobiales; Devosiaceae
Also listed under: 11 other names
Description: tRNA-Leu
Rfam family: tRNA
About the family: Transfer RNA (tRNA) molecules are approximately 80 nucleotides in length. Their secondary structure includes four short double-helical elements and three loops (D, anti-codon, and T loops).
Source: RNAcentral